This 569-nucleotide ribosomal RNA is filed under the name Acidomyces sp. AK72/03. RNAcentral describes it as "eukaryotic LSU rRNA". It matches the Rfam family "Eukaryotic large subunit ribosomal RNA", at positions 17 to 598 of the family's 3401-position model. Lineage: Eukaryota; Fungi; Ascomycota; Dothideomycetes; Mycosphaerellales; Teratosphaeriaceae. The record is from RNAcentral.
AGGGAUACCCGCUGAACUUAAGCAUAUCAAUAAGCGGAGGAAAAGAAACCAACAGGGAUUGCCCUAGUAACGGCGAGUGAAGCGGCAACAGCUCAAAUUUGAAAUCUGGCGCAAGCCCGAGUUGUAAUUUGUAGAGGAUGCUUCAGGGCAGCGGCCGUUCUAAGUCUUUUGGAACAAGGCGUCACAGAGGGUGAGAAUCCCGUAUGCGACCGGCGCGCACCCGUCACGUAGCUCCUUCGACGAGUCGAGUUGUUUGGGAAUGCAGCUCUAAAUGGGAGGUAAAUUUCUUCUAAAGCUAAAUAUCGGCCAGAGACCGAUAGCGCACAAGUAGAGUGAUCGAAAGAUGAAAAGCACUUUGGAAAGAGAGUUAAACAGCACGUGAAAUUGUUGAAAGGGAAGCGCAUGCAACCAGACGUGCCGGCGGUGUUCCCCCGGUCUUCUGACCGGGCCACUCGCCGCCGGCAGGCCCGCAUCGCCUGGGUGCGUCGGAGAAAGGCGUGGGGAAUGUGGCUCCCUCGGGAGUGUUAUAGCCCCGCGCGCAAUACGACGCCGCCCGGGCGAGGUCCGCG